RNAcentral lists this small nuclear RNA (164 nucleotides) under Peromyscus maniculatus bairdii (prairie deer mouse). RNAcentral's name for it is "U1 spliceosomal RNA (ENSPEMG00000031345.1)". It matches the Rfam family "U1 spliceosomal RNA". Rfam says of the family: U1 is a small nuclear RNA (snRNA) component of the spliceosome (involved in pre-mRNA splicing). Its 5' end forms complementary base pairs with the 5' splice junction, thus defining the 5' donor site of an intron. The record is from Rfam by way of RNAcentral. Lineage: Eukaryota; Metazoa; Chordata; Mammalia; Rodentia; Cricetidae.
AUACUUACCUGGCAAGGGAGAUACCAUGAUCACGAAGGUGGUUUUCCCAGGGCGAGGCUUAUCCAUUGCACUCCGGAUGUGCUGACCCCUGCGAUUUCCCCAAAUGCGGGAAACUCGACUGCAUAAUUUGUGGUAGUGGGGGACUGCGUUCGCUCUCUCCCCUG